GCCCCCUUAGCUCAGUGGACUAGAGCGGGUGCCUUCUAAGCACUAGGUCGGCCGUUCGAAUCGGCCAGGGGGCA
Molecule: transfer RNA, 74 nt
Filed under: Chloroflexota bacterium
Lineage: Bacteria; Bacillati; Chloroflexota
Also listed under: 1 other name
Description: Chloroflexi bacterium tRNA-Arg
Rfam family: tRNA
About the family: Transfer RNA (tRNA) molecules are approximately 80 nucleotides in length. Their secondary structure includes four short double-helical elements and three loops (D, anti-codon, and T loops). Further hydrogen bonds mediate the characteristic L-shaped molecular structure. tRNAs have two regions of fundamental functional importance: the anti-codon, which is responsible for specific mRNA codon recognition, and the 3' end, to which the tRNAs corresponding amino acid is attached (by aminoacyl-tRNA synthetases). tRNAs cope with the degeneracy of the genetic code in two manners: having more than one tRNA (with a specific anti-codon) for a particular amino acid; and 'wobble' base-pairing, i.e. permitting non-standard base-pairing at the 3rd anti-codon position.
Source: RNAcentral